Molecule: ribosomal RNA, 279 nt
Filed under: uncultured Actinomycetales bacterium
Lineage: Bacteria; Bacillati; Actinomycetota; Actinomycetes; Actinomycetales
Description: partial 16S ribosomal RNA
Rfam family: Bacterial small subunit ribosomal RNA
Source: RNAcentral
UGUGCCAGCCGCCGCGGUAAUACGUAGGGUGCAAGCGUUGUCCGGAAUUAUCGGGCGUAAAGAGCUCGUAGGCGGUUUGUUGCGUCGGCUGUGAAACCUGAGGCUCAACCUCAGGCCUGCAGUCGAUACGAGCAGACUAGAGUGUUGCAGGGGAGACUGGAAUUCCUGGUGUAGCGGUGAAAUGCGCAGAUAUCAGGAGGACACCGGUGGCGAAGGCGGGUCUCUGGGCAACAACUGACGCUGAGGAGCGAAAGCGUGGGGAGCGACAGGAUUAGAUAC